Molecule: ribosomal RNA, 492 nt
Filed under: uncultured bacterium
Lineage: Bacteria
Description: partial 16S ribosomal RNA
Rfam family: Bacterial small subunit ribosomal RNA
Source: RNAcentral
AGUGAACGCUGGCGGUAGGCCUAACACAUGCAAGUCGAACGGCAGCACAGUAAGCGCUUGCUCUUACGGGUGGCGAGUGGCGGACGGGUGAGGAAUACAUCGGAAUCUACUUUUUCGUGGGGGAUAACGUAGGGAAACUUACGCUAAUACCGCAUACGACCUACGGGUGAAAGCAGGGGAUCUUCGGACCUUGCGCGAUUGAAUGAGCCGAUGUCGGAUUAGCUAGUUGGCGGGGUAAAGGCCCACCAAGGCGACGAUCCGUAGCUGGUCUGAGAGGAUGAUCAGCCACACUGGAACUGAGACACGGUCCAGACUCCUACGGGAGGCAGCAGUGGGGAAUAUUGGACAAAGGGCGCAAGCCUGAUCCAGCCAUACCGCGUGGGUGAAGAAGGCCUUCGGGUUGUAAAGCCCUUUUGUUGGGAAAGAAAAGCAGCAGGUUAAUAUCCCGCUGUUCUGACGGUACCCAAAGAAUAAGCACCGGCUAACUUCGUG